AAUCAACGCUGGCGGCGUGCCUAACACAUGCAAGUCGAACGAGAAAGUGGAGCAAUCCAUGAGUAAAGUGGCGACCGGGUGAGUAACACGUGACUAACCUACCUUCGAGUGGGGGAUAACCUCGGGAAACCGGGGCUAAUACCGCAUAACAUCUUUGGAGUGGAAAUUUCGGAGAUCAAAGGAGCAAUUCGCUGGAAGAGGGGGUCGCGGCUGAUUAGCUAGUUGGCGGGGUAACGGCCCACCAAGGCUAGAUCGGUAGCCGGCCUGAGAGGGCGCACGGCCACACUGGAACUGAAACACGGUCCAGACUCCUACGGGAGGCAGCAGUGGGGAAUUUUGCGCAACGGGGGAAACCCUGACGCAGCAACGCCGCGUGGAGGAUGAAGUCCCUUGGGACGUAAACUCCUUUCGACCCGGACGAUAAUGAC
RNAcentral lists this ribosomal RNA (428 nucleotides) under uncultured bacterium. RNAcentral describes it as "bacterial SSU rRNA". It matches the Rfam family "Bacterial small subunit ribosomal RNA", at positions 32 to 455 of the family's 1533-position model. The record is from RNAcentral.